RNAcentral lists this ribosomal RNA (1278 nucleotides) under metagenome. Its description in RNAcentral is "bacterial LSU rRNA". It matches the Rfam family "Bacterial large subunit ribosomal RNA", at positions 1665 to 2925 of the family's 2925-position model. The record is from RNAcentral.
UGUCGGGUAGAGAAUACCAAGGCGCUUGAGAGAACUCGGGUGAAGGAACUAGGCAAAAUGGCACCGUAACUUCGGGAGAAGGUGCGCCGGCUAGGGUGAAGGAUUUACUCCGUAAGCUCUGGCUGGUCGAAGAUACCAGGCCGCUGCGACUGUUUAUUAAAAACACAGCACUCUGCAAACACGAAAGUGGACGUAUAGGGUGUGACGCCUGCCCGGUGCCGGAAGGUUAAUUGAUGGGGUUAGCGCAAGCGAAGCUCUUGAUCGAAGCCCCGGUAAACGGCGGCCGUAACAAUAACGGUCCUAAGGUAGCGAAAUUCCUUGUCGGGUAAGUUCCGACCUGCACGAAUGGCGUAACGAUGGCGGCGCUGUCUCCACCCGAGACUCAGUGAAAUUGAAAUCGCUGUGAAGAUGCAGUGUAUCCGCGGCUAGACGGAAAGACCCCGUGAACCCUUACUGUAGCUUUGCACUGGACUUUGAGCCUGCUUGUGUAGGAUAGGUGGGAGGCUUUGAAGCGUGGACGCCAGUUCGCGUGGAGCCAUCCUUGAAAUACCACCCUGGCAUGCUUGAGGUUCUAACUCUGGUCCGUAAUCCGGAUCGAGGACAGUGUAUGGUGGGCAGUUUGACUGGGGCGGUCUCCUCCUAAAGAGUAACGGAGGAGUACGAAGGUGCGCUCAGACCGGUCGGAAAUCGGUCGCAGAGUAUAAAGGCAAAAGCGCGCUUGACUGCGAGACAGACACGUCGAGCAGGUACGAAAGUAGGUCUUAGUGAUCCGGUGGUUCUGUAUGGAAGGGCCAUCGCUCAACGGAUAAAAGGUACUCCGGGGAUAACAGGCUGAUACCGCCCAAGAGUUCAUAUCUACGGCGGUGUUUGGCACCUCGAUGUCGGCUCAUCACAUCCUGGGGCUGAAGCCGGUCCCAAGGGUAUGGCUGUUCGCCAUUUAAAGUGGUACGCGAGCUGGGUUUAGAACGUCGUGAGACAGUUCGGUCCCUAUCUGCCGUGGACGUUUGAGAUUUGAGAGGGGCUGCUCCUAGUACGAGAGGACCGGAGUGGACGAACCUCUGGUGUUCCGGUUGUCACGCCAGUGGCAUUGCCGGGUAGCUAUGUUCGGAAAAGAUAACCGCUGAAAGCAUCUAAGCGGGAAACUUGCCUCAAGAUGAGAUCUCACUGGGAACUUGAUUCCCCUGAAGGGCCGUCGAAGACUACGACGUUGAUAGGCUGGGUGUGUAAGCGUUGUGAGGCGUUGAGCUAACCAGUACUAAUUGCCCGUGAGGCUUGACC